GAUGAACGCUGGCGGCGUGCCUAAUACAUGCAAGUCGAGCGAACGGACGAGAAGCUUGCUUCUCUGAUGUUAGCGGCGGACGGGUGAGUAACACGUGGAUAACCUACCUAUAAGACUGGGAUAACUUCGGGAAACCGGAGCUAAUACCGGAUAAUAUUUUGAACCGCAUGGUUCAAAAGUGAAAGACGGUCUUGCUGUCACUUAUAGAUGGAUCCGCGCUGCAUUAGCUAGUUGGUAAGGUAACGGCUUACCAAGGCAACGAUGCAUAGCCGACCUGAGAGGGUGAUCGGCCACACUGGAACUGAGACACGGUCCAGACUCCUACGGGAGGCAGCAGUAGGGAAUCUUCCGCAAUGGGCGAAAGCCUGACGGAGCAACGCCGCGUGAGUGAUGAAGGUCUUCGGAUCGUAAAACUCUGUUAUUAGGGAAGAACAUAUGUGUAAGUAACUGUGCACAUCUUGACGGUACCUAAUCAGAAAGCCACGGCUAACUACGUGCCAGCAGCCGCGGUAAUACGUAGGUGGCAAGCGUUAUCCGGAAUUAUUGGGCGUAAAGCGCGCGUAGGCGGUUUUUUAAGUCUGAUGUGAAAGCCCACGGCUCAACCGUGGAGGGUCAUUGGAAACUGGAAAACUUGAGUGCAGAAGAGGAAAGUGGAAUUCCAUGUGUAGCGGUGAAAUGCGCAGAGAUAUGGAGGAACACCAGUGGCGAAGGCGACUUUCUGGUCUGUAACUGACGCUGAUGUGCGAAAGCGUGGGGAUCAAACAGGAUUAGAUACCCUGGUAGUCCACGCCGUAAACGAUGAGUGCUAAGUGUUAGGGGGUUUCCGCCCCUUAGUGCUGCAGCUAACGCAUUAAGCACUCCGCCUGGGGAGUACGACCGCAAGGUUGAAACUCAAAGGAAUUGACGGGGACCCCGCACAAGCGGUGGAGCAUGUGGUUUAAUUCGAAGCAACGCGAAGAACCUUACCAAAUCUUGACAUCCUUUGACAACUCUAGAGAUAGAGCCUUCCCCUUCGGGGGACAAAGUGACAGGUGGUGCAUGGUUGUCGUCAGCUCGUGUCGUGAGAUGUUGGGUUAAGUCCCGCAACGAGCGCAACCCUUAAGCUUAGUUGCCAUCAUUAAGUUGGGCACUCUAAGUUGACUGCCGGUGACAAACCGGAGGAAGGUGGGGAUGACGUCAAAUCAUCAUGCCCCUUAUGAUUUGGGCUACACACGUGCUACAAUGGACAAUACAAAGGGCAGCGAAACCGCGAGGUCGAGCAGAUCCCAUAAAGUUGUUCUCAGUUCGGAUUGUAGUCUGCAACUCGACUACAUGAAGCUGGAAUCGCUAGUAAUCGUAGAUCAGCAUGCUACGGUGAAUACGUUCCCGGGUCU
This 1373-nucleotide ribosomal RNA is filed under the name uncultured bacterium. RNAcentral describes it as "bacterial SSU rRNA". It matches the Rfam family "Bacterial small subunit ribosomal RNA", at positions 28 to 1381 of the family's 1533-position model. The record is from RNAcentral.